UAGGCCUCUUGUUCUACUGAACUGGUACAGUAGGUGCUGGUCUGCAGUAUGAAAUUAGGGGUCUGAGAUUCCCCACUGCUAGAGGAAAGAUGCGAAAAUUCUUCUCCACUAGUUAUGCCUUAGCUAGAAUGGCUGAAUAGGUACUAAGCUCAAAUAUAUAAAGUUGCUGUCUGAUCUCAAGGCGGAGGCCCCACUUGAACUUCCU
This 205-nucleotide long non-coding RNA is filed under the name Carica papaya (papaya). RNAcentral describes it as "long non-coding RNA (CPAP_LNC012836)". The record is from RNAcentral. Lineage: Eukaryota; Viridiplantae; Streptophyta; Magnoliopsida; Brassicales; Caricaceae.